Molecule: ribosomal RNA, 393 nt
Filed under: uncultured bacterium
Lineage: Bacteria
Description: bacterial SSU rRNA
Rfam family: Bacterial small subunit ribosomal RNA
Source: RNAcentral
UCGGGAAUUUUGGGCAAUGGGCGAAAGCCUGACCCAGCAACGCCGCGUGAGGGAUGAAGUAUUUCGGUAUGUAAACCUCGAAAGAAUGGGAAGAAUAAAUGACGGUACCAUUUAUAAGCUCCGGCUAACUACGUGCCAGCAGCCGCGGUAAUACGUAGGGACCAAGCGUUGUUCGGAUUUACUGGGCGUAAAGGGCGCGUAGGCGGCAAUUCAAGUCAGCUGUGAAAUCUCUGGGCUUAACCCGGAACGGCCAGCUGAUACUGCUUUGCUAGAGUGCGGAAGGGGCAAUCGGAAUUCUUGGUGUAGCGGUAAAAUGCGUAGAUAACAAGGGAAACACCUGAGGUGAAGACGGGUUGCUGGGCCGACACUGACGCUGAGGCGCGAAAGCCAGGG